UCCCGGGUGGCCUAGACAGUAAAAGCAUCUACCUACAAUGUAGGAGACCCGGGUUCGAUCCCUGGGUCGGGAA
RNAcentral lists this transfer RNA (73 nucleotides) under Bos taurus (domestic cattle). It matches the Rfam family "tRNA". Rfam says of the family: Transfer RNA (tRNA) molecules are approximately 80 nucleotides in length. Their secondary structure includes four short double-helical elements and three loops (D, anti-codon, and T loops). Further hydrogen bonds mediate the characteristic L-shaped molecular structure. tRNAs have two regions of fundamental functional importance: the anti-codon, which is responsible for specific mRNA codon recognition, and the 3' end, to which the tRNAs corresponding amino acid is attached (by aminoacyl-tRNA synthetases). tRNAs cope with the degeneracy of the genetic code in two manners: having more than one tRNA (with a specific anti-codon) for a particular amino acid; and 'wobble' base-pairing, i.e. permitting non-standard base-pairing at the 3rd anti-codon position. RNAcentral also lists the same sequence under 1 other name. Lineage: Eukaryota; Metazoa; Chordata; Mammalia; Artiodactyla; Bovidae. The record is from Rfam by way of RNAcentral.